Molecule: ribosomal RNA, 400 nt
Filed under: uncultured soil bacterium
Lineage: Bacteria
Description: bacterial SSU rRNA
Rfam family: Bacterial small subunit ribosomal RNA
Source: RNAcentral
AGAUUGAACGCUGGCGGCAUGCCUUACACAUGCAAGUCGAACGGCAGCACGGGAGCAAUCCUGGUGGCGAGUGGCGAACGGGUGAGUAAUACAUCGGAACGUGCCCAAUCGUGGGGGAUAACGCAGCGAAAGCUGUGCUAAUACCGCAUACGAUCUACGGAUGAAAGCAGGGGACCGCAAGGCCUUGCGCGAGUGGAGCGGCCGAUGGCAGAUUAGGUAGUUGGUGAGGUAAAGGCUCACCAAGCCUUCGAUCUGUAGCUGGUCUGAGAGACGACCAGCCACACUGGGACUGAGACACGGCCCGAGACUCCUACGGGAGGCGAGCAGUGGGGAAUUUUGGACAAGUGGCGCAAGCCUGAUCCAGCCAUGCCGCGUGCAGGAUGAAGGUCCGUUCGGGUUA